GCCUGCUGGCGUCGUCCGGGCCCGUGGACACCCUUGCUUCGAAGGAUAGACAUUCCAAUUUAAACCUUGAUCUUAGGUGCGAGCGAAUCUUUCAAUUCCAAAUUCCAAUUUUACCGAAAAACAGGAAAUCAGGUUGAGAGAGAGAUGGAGAUGGAGAUAUUGGGGAUGAAUUUCAGCUGUGUAUUGAGAUCUCUAAGCGAAUGGAAAAUCCCUGACAACGAUUGCUUGCUUCCCCUCAUCUCUAAGCUCCUCGGCUACUGUAUCGUCGCUGCUUCCACCACCGUCAAAGUCCCACAGAUAUUGAAAAUUUUGAAACAUAGUAGUGUCAGGGGCCUUAGUGUUACAGCCUUUGAGCUUGAAGUUGUGGGCUACACUAUUGCUUUGUCAUACUGUCUUCACAAAGGGCUUCCUUUCUCAGCCUAUGGGGAGUUAUUUUUUCUUUUGAUCCAAGCUAUAAUUUUAGUUGGUAUUAUUUACUAUUAUUCCCAACCCAUGGGUGCCAAAGCGUUGAUCAAGGCAGCACUAUAUUGUGCUAUAGCACCUACUGUUUUAGCUGGUCAGAUUGAUCCUGUUCUUUUCGAGGCCCUCUAUGCUUCUCAGCAUGCAAUUUUUUUCUUUGCAAGGGUCCCACAGAUAUGGAAGAACUAUACUAACAAAAGCACCGGGGAGCUCAGCUUUUUGACAUGUUUCAUGAACUUUAGUGGUUCUCUUGUAAGAGUAUUCACUAGCAUUCAGGAAGAAGCUCCAAAAAGUGUGAUUUUGGGCUCCCUGCUUGGGAUUGUGAUGAACGGCACAAUCCUGACCCAGAUUCUCGUAUACCAAAAGCCACAGAUGAAGAAAGAGAAGAAAGUACAAUAAAGCACGGACCUGGUUUCCCCAAAUAGUCUCGCAUCCAUGCAAGUUAGUCUUGAUGGCCAUGGUAUGGCACAGGCGAACAGGUUGAAAUUGUAGCCAAAAAGAGGUGGACCUCACUUGUAUGGUUGCGUAGAAAAAUGCAGUUUUGCUGGCAUAAGCGUCGUAUGUAUACUGCUGCUUAAUUGGGUGGAACCUAGGUUUAUUUUCUUAUCAUCCUUUGCGUUGUUUUCUUGGUGGAUUGCAUUCUAUGAAUAGUGAGAGAGGACUUGUAUGUGAUUCCUUGUCUUACCGUCGGUGCACCUAACUUGGAGAACUAGACAUUUGGAUUUUGCUUUAAAUGGCUUUGUAAUUGGAUACAAACAUCCAAUAUGAUUGCCUGAAUUAAGGGGUGGCCUUUAAAAAAAAAAAAAAUAAAUAAAAAU
This is an RNA transcript of Magnolia sinica, 1277 nucleotides long. It is a transcript of the gene named mannose-P-dolichol utilization defect 1 protein homolog 2, with no coding region annotated. Lineage: Eukaryota; Viridiplantae; Streptophyta; Magnoliopsida; Magnoliales; Magnoliaceae. The transcript is spliced from 9 exons. The record is from RefSeq and is a predicted model, not a curated record.